RNAcentral lists this ribosomal RNA (403 nucleotides) under uncultured bacterium. Its description in RNAcentral is "bacterial SSU rRNA". It matches the Rfam family "Bacterial small subunit ribosomal RNA", at positions 355 to 774 of the family's 1533-position model. The record is from RNAcentral.
UAGGGAAUCUUGCGCAAUGGGCGAAAGCCUGACGCAGCAACGCCGCGUGCGGGAAGAAGGCUCUCGGGUUGUAAACCGCUUUCAGUAGGAACGAAUUUGACGGUACCUGCAGAAGAAGGUGCGGCCAACUACGUGCCAGCAGCCGCGGUGACACGUAGGCACCAAGCGUUGUCCGGAUUUAUUGGGCGUAAAGAGCUCGUAGGCGGUUCAGUAAGUCGGGUGUGAAAACUCAGGGCUCAACCCUGAGCUGCCACCCGAUACUGCUGUGACUUGAGUCCGGUAGGGGAGUGGGGAAUUCCUGGUGUAGCGGUGAAAUGCGCAAAUAUCAGGAGGAACACCGGUGGCGAAGGCGCCACUCUGGGCCGAGACUGACGCUGAGGAGCGAAAGCGUGGGUAGCAAACA